UUAGUGAUCUUUAGAUUAUAAAGAAAGCUUCUAUUUGGGAUUACCUGUUUUCAAGCGGGAUGAAGAGGGUAGCAAUAACAGGUCCGUGAUGUCCUUUAGAUGCUCUGGGCUGCACGCGUGCUACAAUGUGAAUCACAAAGGAAAAAUAAAUCGAAAGAAUGCAUCACUUCUCCAAAGAUUCACGUAGCUGCAAUUGACAUUUGGAAUUAUUGUCAUGAACCAGGAAUCCCUUGUAAAUGUAUGUCAACACCGUACGUUGAAUACGUCCCUGCUCUUCACACACAUCGCCUGUCGCUCCUACCGAUUGGACGUUUUGGUGAAAAUACUGGACUUUAAUUUAAAGGAAGGUAUUUAAAUCAGCUCGUCUAGAGGAAGGAGAAGUCGUAACAAGGUAACGGUAGGUGAACCUGCCGUUGGAUCAGU
Molecule: ribosomal RNA, 423 nt
Filed under: Trichonympha collaris
Lineage: Eukaryota; Parabasalia; Trichonymphida; Trichonymphidae
Description: bacterial SSU rRNA
Rfam family: Eukaryotic small subunit ribosomal RNA
Source: RNAcentral